GGAACGCUGGCGGCGUGCCUAAUACAUGCAAGUCGAGCGGACUGAUGGGAGCUUGUCUCCCUGCAUGUUAGCGGCGGACGGGUGAGUAACACGUGGAGAACCUGCCCUGUAGACUGGGAUAACAUCGAGAAAUCGGUGCUAAUACCGGAUAAUACAUGGAAUUGCAUAAUUCCAUUUUAAAAGAUGGCUCCGGCUAUCACUACAGGAUGGGGCCGCGGCGCAUUAGCUAGUUGGUAAGGUAACGGCUUACCAAGGCGACGAUGCGUAGCCGACCUGAGAGGGUGAUCGGCCACACUGGGACUGAGACACGGCCCAGACUCCUACGGGAGGCAGCAGUAGGGAAUCUUCCGCAAUGGACGAAAGUCUGACGGAGCAACGCCGCGUGAGCGAUGAAGGUCUUCGGCUCGUAAAGCUCUGUUGCUAGGGAAGAACAAGUGCCAUUCGAAUAGGGUGGCACCUUGACGGUACCUAACCAGAAAGCCACGGCUAACUACGUGCCAGCAGCCGCGG
RNAcentral lists this ribosomal RNA (510 nucleotides) under Bacillaceae bacterium LBB3. Its description in RNAcentral is "bacterial SSU rRNA". It matches the Rfam family "Bacterial small subunit ribosomal RNA", at positions 31 to 520 of the family's 1533-position model. The record is from RNAcentral. Lineage: Bacteria; Bacillati; Bacillota; Bacilli; Caryophanales; Bacillaceae.